CCUACGGGAGGCAGCAGUGGGGAAUAUUGGACAAUGGGGGGAACCCUGAUCCAGCGACGCCGCGUGAGUGAAGAAGUAUUUCGUUAUGUAAAGCUCUAUCAGCAGGGAAGAAAAUGACGGUACCUGACCAAGAAGCCCCGGCUAACUACGUGCCAGCAGCCGCGGUAAUACGUAGGGGGCAAGCGUUAUCCGGAUUUACUGGGUGUAAAGGGAGCGUAGACGGUGCCGCAAGUCUGAAGUGAAAGGUGGGGGCCCAACCCCGGGACUGCACUGGAAACUGUGUAACUGGAGUGCAGGAGAGGUAAGUGGAAUUCCUAGUGUAGCGGUGAAAUGCGUAGAUAUUAGGAGGAACACCAGUGGCGAAGGCGGCUUACUGGACUGUAACUGACGUUGAGGCUCGAAAGCGUGGGGAGCAAACAGGAUUAGAUACCCGAGUAGUC
This 440-nucleotide ribosomal RNA is filed under the name uncultured bacterium. RNAcentral's name for it is "partial 16S ribosomal RNA". It matches the Rfam family "Bacterial small subunit ribosomal RNA", at positions 338 to 795 of the family's 1533-position model. The record is from RNAcentral.